RNAcentral lists this non-coding RNA (152 nucleotides) under Tateyamaria sp. ANG-S1. RNAcentral describes it as "Ruegeria cis2 sRNA". It matches the Rfam family "Ruegeria cis2 sRNA". Rfam says of the family: Cis-encoded. Targets ABC transporter. Functions in transport. Lineage: Bacteria; Pseudomonadati; Pseudomonadota; Alphaproteobacteria; Rhodobacterales; Roseobacteraceae. The record is from Rfam by way of RNAcentral.
GUUGAGUAACGCGGGUUGUAGUUGAUGAAGGUGAAGCCGCGCGACUGGUCAAUAAUGUGAAACAGCGGGUUCCAGUCGAACAUGGCCAGCAUGAAACUGGGCAACGUAUUGGCGACGAACAUCUUGCCUGACGCGAUCAUGUUGGCGCGCUG